UCGGGAAUUUUGGGCAAUGGGCGAAAGCCUGACCCAGCAACGCCGCGUGAAGGAUGAAGUAUUUCGGUAUGUAAACUUCGAAAGAAUAGGAAGAAUAAAUGACGGUACUAUUUAUAAGGUCCGGCUAACUACGUGCCAGCAGCCGCGGUAAUACGUAGGGACCAAGCGUUGUUCGGAUUUACUGGGCGUAAAGGGCGCGUAGGCGGCAAUUCAAGUCAUCUGUGAAAUCUCCGGGCUUAACUCGGAACGGUCAGAUGAUACUGCUUUGCUAGAGUGCAGAAGGGGCAAUCGGAAUUCUUGGUGUAGCGGUGAAAUGCGUAGAUAUCAAGAGGAACACCUGAGGUGAAGACGGGUUGCUGGGCUGGACACUGACGCUGAGGCGCGAACGCCAGGGGAGCAAACGGGAUUAGAUACCCCCGUAGUCCCUGAGCGGGCUGGCAAGGCGCAU
RNAcentral lists this ribosomal RNA (448 nucleotides) under uncultured bacterium. RNAcentral describes it as "bacterial SSU rRNA". It matches the Rfam family "Bacterial small subunit ribosomal RNA", at positions 355 to 825 of the family's 1533-position model. The record is from RNAcentral.